AGCGAACGCUGGCGGCAUGCCUAACACAUGCAAGUCGAACGAGACCUACGGGUCUAGUGGCGCACGGGUGCGUAACGCGUGGGAACCUGCCCUUAGGUUCGGAAUAACUCCCCGAAAGGGGUGCUAAUACCGGAUAAUGUCUUCGGACCAAAGAUUUAUCGCCUUUGGAUGGGCCCGCGUUGGAUUAGCUAGUUGGUAGGGUAAAAGCCUACCAAGGCGACGAUCCAUAGCUGGUCUGAGAGGAUGAUCAGCCACACUGGGACUGAGACACGGCCCAGACUCCUACGGGAGGCAGCAGUGGGGAAUAUUGGACAAUGGGCGAAAGCCUGAUCCAGCAAUGCCGCGUGAGUGAUGAAGGCCUUAGGGUUGUAAAGCUCUUUUACCCGGGAUGAUAAUGACAGUACCGGGAGAAUAAGCUCCGGCUAACUCCGUG
Molecule: ribosomal RNA, 433 nt
Filed under: uncultured bacterium
Lineage: Bacteria
Description: partial 16S ribosomal RNA
Rfam family: Bacterial small subunit ribosomal RNA
Source: RNAcentral